GUAUUCAGGUUUGCAACUGUGUAAGAAACUCUAGGCCAUUGUGGAUUCAAUAUCUGCAGCAGUAUUUGUAAACAACCUGAAAGACAAGUAAAUUCAAAUCUUUGCCUGCAUCUUUUCCUGAAAGGGAAUUUGAAUCCUAAGUACUGGGAGGCUGCCUUAAAAAUGCAAUCACAUGUAAAUACAGUGAAAGGAAAUGGAAAUGACUUACAGGCUAAAAGCAAGCUGCUGGCUUCCAGGAGCCUCAUGGUUGCUAGUUCCAAGUAUCACUGAAAUAAAAAUGCUAGAAGAGACUCUGAACCUGAAGCUGUGCACACAGCAACUCUCCCCUCUCCAGAAGAGUGUAAAAUGGUCUUGCUAUUAUUGGUGUAAACGUGUAAAACUGCAACCCCAGAAUGCCUCACCUGUUAAUACCUUUGAGCAAAAAUGUCAGAGAAACAUGAAGGAACUACUGAGAGUCCUACUCACUGAAAUCGGUUUGAAUAUCUCACCUAUGGCUUUCAAUAAGAAUGAGCAAAUCAGAGAAUGUUCAGCUGUUGGAUUUUCCCCUGGAUAUCAAGCCUGGGGAGGGAGAAAACACACAGCCCUGAUUACAAAGAGCAAGAACCACAAUGAAUAUUUUCUUUACUCCUGCUAAGGUAAAACCAGAAG
Molecule: long non-coding RNA, 648 nt
Filed under: Oryctolagus cuniculus (rabbit)
Lineage: Eukaryota; Metazoa; Chordata; Mammalia; Lagomorpha; Leporidae
Description: lncRNA (ENSOCUG00000034115.1)
Source: RNAcentral